Molecule: ribosomal RNA, 468 nt
Filed under: uncultured bacterium
Lineage: Bacteria
Description: partial 16S ribosomal RNA
Rfam family: Bacterial small subunit ribosomal RNA
Source: RNAcentral
GACGAACGCUGGCGGCGUGCUUAACACAUGCAAGUCGAACGGAAAGGCCCUGCUUUUGUGGGGUGCUCGAGUGGCGAACGGGUGAGUAACACGUGAGUAACCUGCCCUUGACUUUGGGAUAACUUCAGGAAACUGGGGCUAAUACCGGAUAGGAGCUCCUGCUGCAUGGUGGGGGUUGGAAAGUUUCGGCGGUUGGGGAUGGACUCGCGGCUUAUCAGCUUGUUGGUGGGGUAGUGGCUUACCAAGGCUUUGACGGGUAGCCGGCCUGAGAGGGUGACCGGCCACAUUGGGACUGAGAUACGGACCAGACUCGUACGGGAGGCAGCGGUGGGGAAUAUUGCACAGUGGGCGGGAGCCAGAUGCAGCAACGCCGCGUGCGGGAUGACGGCCUUCGGGUUGUAAACCGCUUUCGCCUGUGACGAAGCGUGAGUGACGGUAAUGGGUAAAGAAGCACCGGCUAACUACGUG